Long non-coding RNA from Oncorhynchus keta (chum salmon), 688 nucleotides. RefSeq lists it as uncharacterized. NCBI's taxonomy places the organism in Eukaryota, Metazoa, Chordata, Actinopteri, Salmoniformes, Salmonidae. The transcript has 3 exons. The record is from RefSeq and is a predicted model, not a curated record.
AGAAGACGGACUCAUGGUCCAUUACGACAUCAAGAUGCUGACGUUCCUGAUGCUGGCUAGACUCUCCACUCUGUGUCCCAGUGCUGUGCUACAGAGGCUGGACAGACUGGGCUGAGCGCUACGCGCCACCUGCACCACCAAGGUGAAGGCCAACUCAGUGAAGCAGGAGUUUGAGAAGCAGGAUGAGUUGAAGCGGUCAGCCAUGCGGGCUGUGGUCGCCCUCCUCACCAUCCCCGAGGCGGAGAAGAGUCCCCUGAUGAGCGAGUUCCAGUCCCAGAUCUCCUCCAACCCUGAGCUGGCUGCCAUCUUUGAAAACAUCCAGAGAGACUCGUCCUCCGCUAACAUGGAGUCCAUGGACACCAGCUAAACUAUGACUCUCCCACAAUCCCCCUCUUCUUCCUUUCAUUCCCAAAACAUGAUGCCGCAACAGCAACAAAAAAUACCUAGGAGGAGGGGGGACCCUUUUAUCAAUCGUUCCAUGAUGCAUUGCACUGAAUCAGCAACAGUUAUAGGAGAAAAAUAAAAAAUAAUUGAACUUUAAAACAAAACAAAAUGUAAAACAAAAAAUAAAAGUAAAAGAAAGUUUCUCUUUAAAGCUUUUAAGCUCAUCACCACAUUUCUCAUUUCUAAAAAAAAACAACUUAAAAAAAACCACGAAAUAAAUCAGUUUUUGGUUUGUUCCAUCGUU